RNAcentral lists this ribosomal RNA (379 nucleotides) under uncultured eukaryote. RNAcentral's name for it is "SSU rRNA". It matches the Rfam family "Eukaryotic small subunit ribosomal RNA", at positions 587 to 972 of the family's 1831-position model. The record is from RNAcentral.
AGCUCCAGAAGCGUAUAUUAAUGUUGUUGCAGUUAAAAAGCUCGUAGUCGGAUUUCGGGGCGGGUCGAAGGGUCUGCCGAAUGGUUUGUACCUUUUGACCCGCCCUUCCUUCCGAGGGCCCUAUCUGCACUUUACUGUGUGGAUUGGGAGCUCGGGACUUUUACUUUGAAAAAAUUAGAGUGUUUAAAGCAGGCCAUUGCUCUGAAUACAUUAGCAUGGAAUAAUCGAAUAGGACUCUGGUUCUAUUUUGUUGGUUUCUAGGACCGGAGUAAUGAUCAACAGGGACAGUUUGGGGCGUUCGUAUUUCAUUGUCAGAGGUGAAAUUCUUGGAUUUAUGAAAGACGAACUUCUGCGAAAGCAUUCGUCAGGGAUGUUUUCA